GUGUCACUUCGGUAACACAUGUACUAAAAUUGGAACGAUACAGAGUAGAUUAGCAUGACCCUGUGCAAGGUUGACACGCGAAUUCGUGAAGCGUUUCUAAUUUUG
Small nuclear RNA from Dicentrarchus labrax (European seabass), 105 nucleotides. The record is from Ensembl. NCBI's taxonomy places the organism in Eukaryota, Metazoa, Chordata, Actinopteri, Moronidae.